AAGAAAAAGGCCCUGUUUAGACAUAAAUUUCUUAAACUGCUCUUCUGUCAGCCUAAUUGGGUCUAUACUAAAGCUCCUUCUGAAAGAAAAUCUGCGUCUUACUUCACAACUGCAACUUUCUCCCGAGUUCACGGACCAACAAAGGCCUGGACAUAAAGAGAAGCUAAGGUCUGGCCACACCCCAGCCUGGAUGGAGCAGCCUGUUUGGUGGUGGCGCCCCGGCACCUGCAGCGUUCAGAAGCACAGGGCAGUUCUGACGGGCAGAAUCCCUGAUGUAUCUGUCGCUGUCCCUUCUCAUGGCUCAAGGGCGCCGGAGUACGCGGAAGGAGGCCUCCAAAGACACCGUCCCCUGCAGGUCGAGCUGGGUAAAGCAGGAAGCUGUUGUCCUGGUGGUCCCCUGAGAGGCUUCAAUAUUGUGAGACCAUUGCUGUCCUGGAACCACGAAAGACUUUGUAAUAAACGGAGAUGGCAGUGAAGUAGGCAAUGUGCAAUCUCUCUAAAUAGCUCCAGUGGACUAUAAGGAUAAUACAGCCUAUUGGUAACACAAAGCUAUCAAGGACCUCCAGGAACAGAAGGAGUAGUCUAUUUUAUUCAUUCAUUCAGUAAAUGAAGUACUAAAGAUACGAUGUGAACAAAUAAU
This is a long non-coding RNA of Suricata suricatta (meerkat), 640 nucleotides long. RefSeq lists it as uncharacterized. The transcript is spliced from 3 exons. The record is from RefSeq and is a predicted model, not a curated record. Lineage: Eukaryota; Metazoa; Chordata; Mammalia; Carnivora; Herpestidae.